Molecule: small nucleolar RNA, 107 nt
Organism: Dioscorea cayenensis subsp. rotundata (Guinea yam)
Lineage: Eukaryota; Viridiplantae; Streptophyta; Magnoliopsida; Dioscoreales; Dioscoreaceae
Source: RefSeq, a predicted model, not a curated record
AGAUUGUCGUGCGGACACCUCCUCAAUAAGUCCUUAAACCUAUCCCAAGUCUCAAAUAAGCACUCAGUGUCUAACUACCUGAAUAAUGUAAUCUCUUGUCUCAAUUU